UGGGUUCUUUCCAGCUUCUGGGUAUUAUA
RNAcentral lists this non-coding RNA (29 nucleotides) under Mus musculus (house mouse). Lineage: Eukaryota; Metazoa; Chordata; Mammalia; Rodentia; Muridae. The record is from RNAcentral.